UACGUAGGGGCCAAGCGUUGUCCGGAUUUAUUGGGCGUAAAGAGCUCGUAGGUGGUUCAGUAAGUGAGCUGUGAAAUCUCCGCGCUCAACGCGGAGGGGUCAGCUCAUACUGCUGUGACUUGAGUCCGGUAGGGGAGUGCGGAAUUCCUGGUGUAGCGGUGAAAUGCGCAGAUAUCAGGAGGAACACCAGUGGCGAAGGCGGCACUCUGGGCCGGUACUGACACUGAGGAGCGAAAGCGUGGGGAGCGAACAGG
RNAcentral lists this ribosomal RNA (254 nucleotides) under uncultured bacterium. RNAcentral describes it as "partial 16S ribosomal RNA". It matches the Rfam family "Bacterial small subunit ribosomal RNA", at positions 524 to 776 of the family's 1533-position model. The record is from RNAcentral.